UACGGAGGGGGCUAGCGUUGUUCGGAUUUACUGGGCGUAAAGCGCGCGUAGGCGGCUUGGAAAGUUGGGAGUGAAAGCCCGGGGCUCAACCCCGGAACUGCUCUCAAAACUUCCAAGCUAGAGAUCUGGAGAGGGGGGUGGAAUUCCAAGUGUAGAGGUGAAAUUCGUAGAUAUUUGGAAGAACACCAGUGGCGAAGGCGACUCUCUGGCCAGAUACUGACGCUGAGGUGCGAAAGCGUGGGGAGCAAACAGG
Molecule: ribosomal RNA, 253 nt
Filed under: uncultured bacterium
Lineage: Bacteria
Description: partial 16S ribosomal RNA
Rfam family: Bacterial small subunit ribosomal RNA
Source: RNAcentral